RNAcentral lists this ribosomal RNA (527 nucleotides) under soil bacterium RFS-I26. Its description in RNAcentral is "bacterial SSU rRNA". It matches the Rfam family "Bacterial small subunit ribosomal RNA", at positions 8 to 524 of the family's 1533-position model. The record is from RNAcentral.
AGAGUUUGAUCCUGGCUCAGAUUGAACGCUGGCGGCAUGCCUAACACAUGCAAGUCGAACGGCAGCACAGCAGUAGCAAUACUGUGGGUGGCGAGUGGCGGACGGGUGAGUAAUGCAUCGGGAUCUACCCAAACGUGGGGGAUAACGUAGGGAAACUUACGCUAAUACCGCAUACGUCUUACGAGAGAAAGCAGGGGACCUUCGGGCCUUGCGCGGUUGGACGAACCGAUGUGCGAUUAGCUAGUUGGUAGGGUAAUGGCCUACCAAGGCGACGAUCGCUAGCUGGUCUGAGAGGAUGAUCAGCCACACUGGAACUGAGACACGGUCCAGACUCCUACGGGAGGCAGCAGUGGGGAAUAUUGGACAAUGGGCGCAAGCCUGAUCCAGCAAUGCCGCGUGUGUGAAGAAGGCCUUCGGGUUGUAAAGCACUUUUAUCAGGAGCGAAAUACUACCGGCUAAUAUCCGGUGGGGCUGACGGUACCUGAGGAAUAAGCACCGGCUAACUUCGUGCCAGCAGCCGCGGUAAU